UGUGUGUGUACGUUCAUCUUGUCCUUCAAAACUCACGCCCUGAUUCCUAACAUACCAUCUCCUUCCUGCUGCUUUCACAUGAUUCACUGUUGACUUGCAGUUUGUGGCAUAAUGUCACAUUCAGUCAUGCUUUUAUGUGACUCCUGUGUGUGCAUAAUUAAAAGAUUGUGAGCUAGAACAAGCCUUAUGUUAAGAUGCCGUAUUUUUAAAAUAAUGUUGUUGGUUUUUUUUUUUAAAAAAACAACAACAACAUUAUUUUAACAUUUUGAUGUAUUUCUACACUGAAUCAUCCUGGAACUGCAGGCUUAGAGUUGUGAAACUGAUGAAUUGAGUGAGUAAUUUGUAAUGCAUAAGGACAUCUUUAUUUUCACUUCAUGGAAACAGUAAAGUUUUUUUCCCCAGUGUCUCUCUUCUCUCUCACACAUGCACAGUAGCUCCACGUCUUUUAUUGAGCCACCAAACAAUCUGUUCUAUAGAAAGGCAGCUAGCACAACACUAAAUGUCAUUAAUGAACAUUUCUUUAAACCACAGUGACUAACUGCACAGAGAUCUUUUUUCUUCUUCUUUUUUUUCAGGGGUUUAUAAAAAAUUCUUUCUUCCAUUGUGUUAAUGAUUGAUGGGCACCAGAUGCCACUAUGGGGUGUUUCCCAAACCAGACAGCUUGACAUUUGAUUAUAAUAGGAAUGAAUGUUGCACACAAUAGGUGGCUUGUUGUAAACCUAGGGGCAAUAGAAGAUAAAUAAUUAUACUGUUUUGUGAAGCCGAGCUAUCAUUCCACAAACUUUCCAAAGGAAGAUUCUAGUUUUUUGAAACUAAGUACACCCAUGACUUAACAGUUUGUAGAACUACAUUUAGCACCUAUAACUUAGAGUAACUGCUUUCUAUAUGACCUUUCCAGUCUCUCACGUCAUUUCUGGAGGAAUUAUGGUUGUUUUCUUUACAUCAUCGCUUCAGUUCAUUGAGGUUGUGCAUAGUUUGCUUAAAGUCCUGCCACAGCAUUUCAGUCAGGUUGAGCUCUGGACUUUGACCGGAUCGUCACAUCACCUUUUCUUUUUCAGCCAUUCUGUUGUAGAUUUGCUGUUGUGCUUAGGAUCAUUUUCUUGUUGAAUGACUCAAUUGGGGCCAACAUGUCAGAUAGCUGGUCUCACACUUGACUCCAAAAUACUUUGGUACACAGAGCAGAUCAUGGCCAGCUGAGUGACAGCUG
Long non-coding RNA from Astatotilapia calliptera (eastern happy), 1207 nucleotides. The record is from Ensembl. NCBI's taxonomy places the organism in Eukaryota, Metazoa, Chordata, Actinopteri, Cichliformes, Cichlidae.